UACGUAGGGUGCAAGCGUUGUCCGGAAUUAUUGGGCGUAAAGAGCUCGUAGGCGGUCUGUCGCGUCGGAUGUGAAAACCCAGGGCUCAACCCUGGGCCUGCAUUCGAUACGGGCAGACUAGAGUUCGGCAGGGGAGACUGGAAUUCCUGGUGUAGCGGUGAAAUGCGCAGAUAUCAGGAGGAACACCGGUGGCGAAGGCGGGUCUCUGGGCCGAUACUGACGCUGAGGAGCGAAAGCGUGGGGAGCGAACAGG
This 253-nucleotide ribosomal RNA is filed under the name uncultured bacterium. RNAcentral describes it as "partial 16S ribosomal RNA". It matches the Rfam family "Bacterial small subunit ribosomal RNA", at positions 524 to 776 of the family's 1533-position model. The record is from RNAcentral.